Corapipo altera (White-ruffed manakin) is the source of this 2252-nucleotide long non-coding RNA. RefSeq lists it as uncharacterized. The transcript has 3 exons. NCBI's taxonomy places the organism in Eukaryota, Metazoa, Chordata, Aves, Passeriformes, Pipridae. The record is from RefSeq and is a predicted model, not a curated record.
UGUGGAACAAGAGGCAAAUAUAAAUAGCAGUUGAAGGGAAAAGUCCAAGCUAUUUUGCGUGUACUUUUGAAUAAGGGUCAAUUUUAUUUCAAGCUCCUGGGAUGACCUUUAAGGUUUUCUUUAAGGCUUUCUAUAUGUUUCGUGACAGAAUGACAAGGAAAUGACAGGGGACCUGACAGCUCUAUUAACUGCAGGAAAAAGAUGGGCGAGAGCUGUGUUAAAUCACCUCUGGAUAACAAGCUGGAUUUCAGAAUGCAGCCCCAAUUCUUGCAGGACAAAUCAUGAUGUGACAGGAAGAAUUAGAAAGGCACCUCUCAGGAGCACAUAUGUUCCAGUUCCAUACCUUCUACAUGCUGGCCUGGAAGCUCAGCUUUACAAAGCACAUGAACCUUUGACCAGGGGAAUUUCAGAUAAACUGCAACAACUGAAAACUUUGCAAAGCAAAAGCUCUCCUGCAUUCCAGGAGGUGAGAAAGUGUUCAGCACUAACACCUACACAAGUGACGAUCACCAGGAGGUUGGACACAUUUGCAGUGACUUCUGCUCAUGGACCUUUUGGAUGCCUGAGUUGAACAGGAUGUUGCAAAUUAGAACCUGCUCACAGCUUUGUCAAUGGAUUAGGACAAAACAAGCAGUGCACAUUUUAUGAAGACUGGAUAUUAUAUUAAUGACAAGUCCACCAGAGUAUGAACAAGCUGCUGCAGUUUAAUAAAAAGCAGAAUUUCCUAGACUCGCAUAAACUAUUAGCUCAUUGACUAAAAUAGACCUGCUGUCUCUGUCUGCUGUAGAAGCCCAGCUGCUCUGCUGAUCUCAACAAAAGAACAAUUGCAGCUACAAUAAAAACCCUGGGAUCUUGAAAAACAUGGGACGAUAUCAGCUGUUAAAGAGGAUAGAAAUAACACAGCAGUGAAACUAAUAAAUAAAUACAAACAGGUUUAAGGUGUUCUCUUCAGAAACACUGUCCUAUGGGUUAUAGAUCUGAAGACUAGCUUUUAACAGUUCUGACAUACAAGGAACCCAUGCAAGCACUUACACAUCUCCCCUGUGUAAGUGCUUCAGUUCUUGUUCCUGGCUACAUAAAUCACAGGCAGGGUAAACGCAUUACGAGUAAAGAGAAGGAAAUAAUAUGAUCUCCUAGCAGACACUGGGAGCAACAGCUUUUCACUUAUGUGCCAAAAUGCCACACAACUAUUAGUAUGGAACAAGAUACGCCUUCUUUUAGAAACAGUCUAUAGCAAAUUCACAUUUCAUCUACUAAAUCCUUGGCUUCUUACAGUCUUUUAGCACGUUUCUCCUAAUAACAUCCCUCUCAAGACUAGACCGUGCUUUUCUGCUUUUCUCCCAUUUUGUAAGCACAGAAGAAAGACAAAGCAGGUACAGAUGCACAAAAAAAGAACUAAAUGUCCAAAUCCCAGCGUGCCAGCCACAAAGCCCCAGGAUAUCCAGUUACACUGGGCAAAAGCCACAGUGCUGAAAGAUAGAAAAUGUCUCUGUUCUGAUAUAAUUUGACAGUAAAGAAGAGUUGACAGAGUCCAUAUAGAUGCUCCUGACAUAUAACAACUCCCUUGGGAUAGUGGGUACACAUGAAAGUGGGAGACAAACAGAUAAUACAACAUUGACCACGUUGUCCAAAUUCAGUGAUCACAAAUCAGUUCUCUGUUGACAAGACUCAUUUUUCACAGCAGCGUCUUUGUCUCCAAGCCUUUGCCAAACAGUUAUAACUUCAUCAGUGCAUUUGGGAAUACAUUUAACAAAAUUGUCUUUUGCAGAAGUGAGAUGGUACCAAAGCAAUGCAAUUUUGAAAAACAACAACACAGAGGGAAGGAGAAAAGCUGUCUAGAAAAACUAGUGAAGAUGGCCCUCAAUUUCCUGAUAAAAUGGCCCGGCGCACUGUUACUUGCCUAUUCUCUUUAGGAAUUACAGGAAAAUGAAAUUACCAGAGAUUUGCAAUGUGUGCAACACCAUUUCAUUAGAAGGAUAAGAAGUCCAAAUUUCCUUAUUAUCAACAAAUUAUGUCAGUAUUAAGACUGAUCUAAUGUUACCUUUGAUCUUGAAUUCUUCAUGAAAUCAGAUGCACAAGGUACAGUUACCUGAAGUAGCAAGUCCCCACAGUUUCAUUGGAGACUGUGUCUAAACACAUGACAAAUCAGAAUUCCUAAUGUUUUCCUCUAAAUAAUUAAAAUCCUUUUCAUAUACAUCAUCAAAACCUUAAAACCCUGCUUAGAUUAUGUGACAAAAAACUUCAUGGCAGAA